Molecule: ribosomal RNA, 257 nt
Filed under: uncultured bacterium
Lineage: Bacteria
Description: partial 16S ribosomal RNA
Rfam family: Bacterial small subunit ribosomal RNA
Source: RNAcentral
UACGUAGGGUAUCGACAGUGUUGCCGGAAUUAUUGGGCGUAAAGAGCUCGUAGGCGGUUUGUCACGUCGGCUGUGAAAACCUAAGGCUCAACCUCAGGCCUGCAGUCGAUACGGGCAGACUAGAGUCCGGCAGGGGAGACUGGAAUUCCUGGUGUAGCGGUGAAAUGCGCAGAUAUCAGGAGGAACACCGGUGGCGAAGGCGGGGUCUCUGGGCCGGAACUGACGCUGGAGGAGCGAAAGCGUGGGGAGCGAACAGG